RNAcentral lists this ribosomal RNA (253 nucleotides) under uncultured bacterium. RNAcentral describes it as "partial 16S ribosomal RNA". It matches the Rfam family "Bacterial small subunit ribosomal RNA", at positions 524 to 776 of the family's 1533-position model. The record is from RNAcentral.
UACGAAGGGGGCUAGCGUUGCUCGGAAUCACUGGGCGUAAAGCGCACGUAGGCGGCUUCUUAAGUCAGGGGUGAAAUCCUGGAGCUCAACUCCAGAACUGCCUUUGAUACUGAGGAGCUCGAGUCCGGGAGAGGUGAGUGGAACUCCGAGUGUAGAGGUGAAAUUCGUAGAUAUUCGGAAGAACACCAGUGGCGAAGGCGGCUCACUGGCCCGGUACUGACGCUGAGGUGCGAAAGCGUGGGUAGCGAACAGG